UCCAUGUAGAGCAGUGGAUAGCGCUUUGGAGUUCUAAACCAAAGGUGCCGGUUUCGAAUCCCGGCUGAAA
This is a non-coding RNA of Araneus ventricosus, 70 nucleotides long. The record is from the annotation of a GenBank genome assembly. Lineage: Eukaryota; Metazoa; Arthropoda; Arachnida; Araneae; Araneidae.